This 361-nucleotide ribosomal RNA is filed under the name uncultured bacterium. Its description in RNAcentral is "bacterial SSU rRNA". It matches the Rfam family "Bacterial small subunit ribosomal RNA", at positions 28 to 357 of the family's 1533-position model. The record is from RNAcentral.
GACGAACGCUGGCGGCGCACCUAAGACAUGCAAGUCGAACGGUCUUCGUCUGUUCUUCUUCUUUGGAGGAAGAGGAGGGGGGGAUAGUCGGCGGACGGGUGAGUAACACAUAAGGGACCUGCCCUAGAGGGGGGGAUAGCCUGGGGAAACCGAGGGUAAGCCCGCGUACGCUCCCUGGCAUAGCGGCCAGGGAGGAAAUGCUUCUUCUUUACGGAGGGAGUAGCUCUGGGAGGGCCUUGUGGCGGAUUAGCAGUUGGAGGGGUAAGGGCCCACCAAGGCGACGAUCCGUCGCUGGUCUGAGAGGAUGACCAGCCACACCGGGACUGAGACACGGCCCGGACUCCUACGGGAGCAGCAGUUA